UCGUGCUAGGCGGGAAGCUAGCGGUGUCCUGUAACCUGCAAUCCGCUCAGCAGGGCUGAAUUCCCUCCUGAGGAGUCCCGAACCGCCGAUUCGACGGAAGGGGGAACCCAGGACCUGAACCCCGUGCGGUUCCCGUCUCCGAAUUCCGCCAGGCCUGGAAGGGAGCAACGGUAAGGGGAAAAGGGCCGACCCGGGUUCCUUCGGGCCCUGCCUUCUUCCCGGCGAGCCGGCGUUUCCCUUCGAAGGAGGGUGCGCGG
RNAcentral lists this signal recognition particle RNA (257 nucleotides) under Acidobacteriota bacterium. RNAcentral's name for it is "Acidobacteria bacterium signal recognition particle sRNA large type". It matches the Rfam family "Bacterial large signal recognition particle RNA". From Rfam's summary of the family: The signal recognition particle (SRP) is a universally conserved ribonucleoprotein involved in the co-translational targeting of proteins to membranes. Archaeal SRP consists of a 7S RNA and homologues of the eukaryotic SRP19 and SRP54 proteins. The record is from RNAcentral. Lineage: Bacteria; Pseudomonadati; Acidobacteriota.